GUAAGCCUGUCUUCGUUUUGUAUUUCUGGCGUCCGUUAUCACCACCACAAAUUUGUUGGCAUACAACAACUGGUACUACACCCUCAGUCGCCACGAGGAAUCACUUCUGUGGCUUCUAGCUGAGGCGAGGUGGCCAAAAUUCCUGAUUAUCUUCUGCACUGCCAGCAACGCCUUCCCCAACGGCAAGCCAUCCGUCGCCGUCCAAUGCAGCUUGGGUGCAGCACAAUGCCAUGGCCACCCUCCUUGGUCCCGUCCCUCGGCUACACUGUACCUUGACCUGCCCAGUGGGCCGUCAAGCCAGCUCUAGCUUGGCUAAUCUCUCUUAUAUCCCAUAAUAAACAAACAAAUAAGCACUAUAC
Long non-coding RNA from Ornithodoros turicata, 359 nucleotides. RefSeq lists it as uncharacterized. The transcript has 2 exons. The record is from RefSeq and is a predicted model, not a curated record. Lineage: Eukaryota; Metazoa; Arthropoda; Arachnida; Ixodida; Argasidae.